RNAcentral lists this transfer RNA (72 nucleotides) under Ixodes scapularis (black-legged tick). It matches the Rfam family "tRNA". Rfam says of the family: Transfer RNA (tRNA) molecules are approximately 80 nucleotides in length. Their secondary structure includes four short double-helical elements and three loops (D, anti-codon, and T loops). The record is from Rfam by way of RNAcentral. Lineage: Eukaryota; Metazoa; Arthropoda; Arachnida; Ixodida; Ixodidae.
GCUUGUUAGCUCAUUUGGUAGAGCGCUCCGCUGGAAAUGAAGAGGUUCCUGGUUUGAUACCAGGACCAUGCG